This 457-nucleotide ribosomal RNA is filed under the name Salmonella enterica subsp. enterica serovar Heidelberg. RNAcentral's name for it is "partial 23S ribosomal RNA". It matches the Rfam family "Bacterial large subunit ribosomal RNA", at positions 63 to 559 of the family's 2925-position model. RNAcentral also lists the same sequence under 1 other name. Lineage: Bacteria; Pseudomonadati; Pseudomonadota; Gammaproteobacteria; Enterobacterales; Enterobacteriaceae. The record is from RNAcentral.
AAUCUGCGAUAAGCGCCGGUAAGGUGAUAUGAACCGUUAUAACCGGCGAUUUCCGAAUGGGGAAACCCAGUGUGACUCGUCACACUAUCAUUAACUGAAUCCAUAGGUUAAUGAGGCGAACCGGGGGAACUGAAACAUCUAAGUACCCCGAGGAAAAGAAAUCAACCGAGAUUCCCCCAGUAGCGGCGAGCGAACGGGGAGGAGCCCAGAGCCUGAAUCAGCAUGUGUGUUAGUGGAAGCGUCUGGAAAGGCGCGCGAUACAGGGUGACAGCCCCGUACACAAAAGCGCAUGUGCUGUGAGCUCGAUGAGUAGGGCGGGACACGUGGUAUCCUGUCUGAAUAUGGGGGGACCAUCCUCCAAGGCUAAAUACUCCUGACUGACCGAUAGUGAACCAGUACCGUGAGGGAAAGGCGAAAAGAACCCCGGCGAGGGGAGUGAAAAAGAACCUGAAACCGU